RNAcentral lists this ribosomal RNA (791 nucleotides) under uncultured archaeon. Its description in RNAcentral is "bacterial SSU rRNA". It matches the Rfam family "Archaeal small subunit ribosomal RNA", at positions 84 to 880 of the family's 1478-position model. The record is from RNAcentral.
UACGGCUCAGUAACACGUGGAUAACCUGCCCUGCGGUGGGAAAUAACCCCGGGAAACUGGGGAUAAUGUCCCAUAGAUUACGGAUACUGGAAUGUUCUGUAGUCCAAAGAUUUAUCGCCACAGGAUGGGUCUGCGGCCGAUUAGGUAGUUGUUGGGGUAAAGGCCCAACAAGCCUUUGAUCGGUACGGGUUGUGGGAGCAAGAGCCCGGAGAUGGAUUCUGAGACACGAAUCCAGGCCCUACGGGGCGCAGCAGGCGCGAAAACUUUACAAUGCGGGAAACCGUGAUAAGGGAACUCCGAGUGUCCGUAAAUUCGGACUGUCCGUAUGUUUAAAAAGCAUGCGAAGAAAGGGCCGGGCAAGACCGGUGCCAGCCGCCGCGGUAAUACCGGCGGCUCGAGUGGUGGCCACUAUUACUGGGCUUAAAGCGUUCGUAGCUUGGUUGUUAAGUCUCUUGGGAAAUCUAUCGGCUUAACCGAUAGGCGUCCAGGGGAUACUGGCAAUCUAGGGACCGGGAGAGGUGAGGGGUACUUCAGGGGUAGGAGUGAAAUCCUGUAAUCCCUGGGGGACCACCUGUGGCGAAGGCGCCUCACCAGAACGGCUCCGACAGUGAGGGACGAAAGCUGGGGGAGCAAACCGGAUUAGAUACCCGGGUAGUCCCAGCCGUAAACGAUGCACGUUAGGUGUAUCGAUGACCACGAGUCAUCGAGGUGCCGAAGGGAAACCGUGAAACGUGCCGCCUGGGAAGUACGGUCGCAAGGCUGAAACUUAAAGGAAUUGGCGGGGGAGCACA